AGAGGGUGCUAGCUUGCUAGAACUUAGAGACAGGUGCUGCACGGCUGUCGUCAGCUCGUGUCGUGAGAUGUUGGGUUAAGUCCCGCAACGAGCGCAACCCACGUAUUUAGUUGCUAACGGUUCGGCCGAGCACUCUAAAUAGACUGCCUUCGUAAGGAGGAGGAAGGUGUGGACGACGUCAAGUCAUCAUGGCCCUUAUGCCCAGGGCGACACACGUGCUACAAUGGCAUAUACAAUGAGACGCAAUACCGCGAGGUGGAGCAAAUCUAUAAAAUAUGUCCCAGUUCGGAUUGUUCUCUGCAACUCGAGAGCAUGAAGCCGGAAUCGCUAGUAAUCGUAGAUCAGCCAUGCUACGGUGAAUACGUUCCCGGGUCUUGUACUCACCGCCCGUCACACCAUGGGAGUUGAUUUCACUCGAAGCCGGAAUACUAAACUAGUUACCGUCCACAGUGGAAUCAGCGACUGGGGUGAAGUCGUAACAAGGUAACCGUAGGAGAACCUGCGGUUGGAUCACCUCCUUUCUAG
Molecule: ribosomal RNA, 525 nt
Filed under: Campylobacter coli
Lineage: Bacteria; Pseudomonadati; Campylobacterota; Epsilonproteobacteria; Campylobacterales; Campylobacteraceae
Description: bacterial SSU rRNA
Rfam family: Bacterial small subunit ribosomal RNA
Source: RNAcentral